Molecule: ribosomal RNA, 563 nt
Filed under: marine sediment bacterium BB0608_AND_1.2_7S0
Lineage: Bacteria
Description: bacterial SSU rRNA
Rfam family: Bacterial small subunit ribosomal RNA
Source: RNAcentral
GCUAUCUGCUGACGAGCGGCGGACGGGUGAGUAACGCGUAGGAAUCUGCCCGGUAGCGGGGGAUAGCCCAGAGAAAUUUGGAUUAAUACCGCAUACGCCCUACGGGGGAAAGGAGGGGACUCUUCGGAGCCUUCCACUAUCGGAUGAGCCUGCGUGAGAUUAGCUAGUUGGCGGGGUAAAGGCCCACCAAGGCGACGAUCUCUAGCUGGUCUGAGAGGAUGAUCAGCCACACCGGAACUGAGACACGGUCCGGACUCCUACGGGAGGCAGCAGUGGGGAAUAUUGCACAAUGGGCGAAAGCCUGAUGCAGCCAUGCCGCGUGUGUGAAGAAGGCCUUAGGGUUGUAAAGCACUUUCAGCGAGGAGGAAAGCUUGUGAGUUAAUACCUCUCAAGUGUGACGUUACUCGCAGAAGAAGCACCGGCUAACUCCGUGCCAGCAGCCGCGGUAAUACGGAGGGUGCAAGCGUUAAUCGGAAUUACUGGGCGUAAAGCGCGCGUAGGCGGCUUGUUAAGCCAGAUGUGAAAGCCCCGGGCUUAACCUGGGAACUGCAUUUGGAACUGGC